AGGGGCGUAGCUCAGUCUGGUUAGAGCAUCGGUCUCCAAAACCGAGGGCCGAGGGUUCGAAUCCUUCCGCCCCUGCCA
RNAcentral lists this transfer RNA (78 nucleotides) under Chloroflexota bacterium. RNAcentral's name for it is "Chloroflexi bacterium tRNA-Trp". It matches the Rfam family "tRNA". From Rfam's summary of the family: Transfer RNA (tRNA) molecules are approximately 80 nucleotides in length. Their secondary structure includes four short double-helical elements and three loops (D, anti-codon, and T loops). The record is from RNAcentral. RNAcentral also lists the same sequence under 6 other names. Lineage: Bacteria; Bacillati; Chloroflexota.